AACGUAGACAUGGCCGGCACGGGUCAAAGUAUAGUAUCUGUUCUCAUCAGCUUAAAAUCUAGUACGGGUUCUAUUUGGACUUAAGAUAUUAAACCUGUUUUUGCAAGCUGGCAGAGUGCUUGAAGCCUACUUUACCUCGCCCGCGGGGCGUUCCGGUAUUGCACUGUCUCCUGGAUCAGCCCACGGUUU
This is a small nuclear RNA of Dermacentor andersoni, 189 nucleotides long. RefSeq annotates it as U2 spliceosomal RNA. Lineage: Eukaryota; Metazoa; Arthropoda; Arachnida; Ixodida; Ixodidae. The record is from RefSeq and is a predicted model, not a curated record.